This 625-nucleotide ribosomal RNA is filed under the name Anthracocystis hwangensis. Its description in RNAcentral is "LSU rRNA". It matches the Rfam family "Eukaryotic large subunit ribosomal RNA", at positions 71 to 677 of the family's 3401-position model. The record is from RNAcentral. Lineage: Eukaryota; Fungi; Basidiomycota; Ustilaginomycetes; Ustilaginales; Ustilaginaceae.
AGGAUUCCCCUAGUAACGGCGAGUGAAGAGGGAAGAGCCCAAGAUUGAAAGCUGGCGCCUUCGGCGUCCGCAUUGUAAUCUCAAGAAGUGUUUUCCGCUUCGGACCAUGCCUAAGUCCCUUGGAAAAGGGCAUCAUAGAGGGUGAUAAUCCCGUACAUGGCAUGGAGCGCCCGAGGCUUUGUGAUACGCUUUCUAAGAGUCGAGUUGUUUGGGAAUGCAGCUCAAAAUGGGUGGNAAAUGCCAUCUAAGGCUAAAUAUUGGGGAGAGACCGAUAGCGAACAAGUACAGUGAUGGAAAGAUGAAAAGAACUUUGAAAAGAGAGUUAAACAGUACGUGAAAUUGCCAAAAGGGAAGGGUAGGAGGUCAGAGAUGCGUCUUGGGAUUCAGCCUUGCUUUUGCUUGGUGUUUUUCCCAAGUGGCAGGCCAACGUCGGUUUUGGGCACUGGAGAAGGGUGGAAGGAAUGUGGCACCUCUCGGGGUGUGUUAUAGCCUUCUACUGGAUACAGCGACCGGGACCGAGGACAGCAGCGUACUCGCAAGAGCGGGCCUUCGGGCACCUUUACGCUUAGGGCGUUGGCAUAAUGGCCCUCUACCACCCGUCUUGAAACACGGACCAAGGAGUCUA